GCCUCUUUAGCUCAGUGGCAGAGCACUGGUCUUGUAAACCAGGGGCCGUGAGUUCAAUCCUCACAGGAGGCA
RNAcentral lists this transfer RNA (72 nucleotides) under Bactrocera tryoni. RNAcentral describes it as "tRNA-Thr". It matches the Rfam family "tRNA". Rfam says of the family: Transfer RNA (tRNA) molecules are approximately 80 nucleotides in length. Their secondary structure includes four short double-helical elements and three loops (D, anti-codon, and T loops). Lineage: Eukaryota; Metazoa; Arthropoda; Insecta; Diptera; Tephritidae. The record is from RNAcentral.